This 516-nucleotide ribosomal RNA is filed under the name uncultured bacterium. Its description in RNAcentral is "bacterial SSU rRNA". It matches the Rfam family "Bacterial small subunit ribosomal RNA", at positions 28 to 524 of the family's 1533-position model. The record is from RNAcentral.
AAUCAACGCUGGCGGCGUGCCUAACACAUGCAAGUCGAACGCGAGAGGGGCUUCGGCCCCGAUUGAGUGGCGAACGGGUGAGUAACGCGUGGGUGACCUACCUUCGAGUGGGGGAUAACGUCCCGAAAGGGACGCUAAUACCGCAUAACAUCCUGCUUUUGAAUGGGUGGAGAUCAAAGCCGGGGAUCGCAAGACCUGGCGCUUGAUGAGGGGCCCGCGUCUGAUUAGCUAGUUGGGAGGUAACGGCCCACCAAGGCAACGAUCAGUAUCCGGCCUGAGAGGGCGGACGGACACACUGGGACUGAGACACGGCCCAGACUCCUACGGGAGGCAGCAGUGGGGAAUUGUUCGCAAUGGGCGCAAGCCUGACGACGCAACGCCGCGUGGAGGAUGAAGGUCUUCGGAUUGUAAACUCCUGUUGCCCGGGACGAAUGGCUCCGACCUAACACGUCGGAGUGUGACGGUACCGGGUGGGGAAGCCCCGGCUAACUCUGUGCCAGCAGCCGCCGCCGUAAC